GGAGCCUGACGAGACUACUGAGGCCGUUCUGUC
Molecule: non-coding RNA, 33 nt
Filed under: Escherichia coli
Lineage: Bacteria; Pseudomonadati; Pseudomonadota; Gammaproteobacteria; Enterobacterales; Enterobacteriaceae
Source: RNAcentral